AGUGAACGCUGGCGGUAGGCCUAACACAUGCAAGUCGAACGGCAGCACAGUAAGAGCUUGCUCUUACGGGUGGCGAGUGGCGGACGGGUGAGGAAUACAUCGGAAUCUACUUUUUCGUGGGGGAUAACGUAGGGAAACUUACGCUAAUACCGCAUACGACCUACGGGUGAAAGCAGGGGAUCUUCGGACCUUGCGCGAUUGAAUGAGCCGAUGUCGGAUUAGCUAGUUGGCGGGGUAAAGGCCCACCAAGGCGACGAUCCGUAGCUGGUCUGAGAGGAUGAUCAGCCACACUGGAACUGAGACACAGUCCAGACUCCUACGGGAGGCAGCAGUGGGGAAUAUUGGACAAUGGGCGAAAGCCUGAUCCAGCCAUACCGCGUGGGUGAAGAAGGACUUCGGGUUGUAAAGCCCUUUUGUUGGGAAAGAAAAGCAGCAGGUUAAUACCCCGCUGUUCUGACGGUACCCAAAGAAUAAGCACCGGCUAACUUCGUG
RNAcentral lists this ribosomal RNA (492 nucleotides) under uncultured bacterium. RNAcentral describes it as "partial 16S ribosomal RNA". It matches the Rfam family "Bacterial small subunit ribosomal RNA", at positions 29 to 507 of the family's 1533-position model. The record is from RNAcentral.